UACGGAGGAUCCAAGCGUUAUCCGGAUUUAUUGGGUUUAAAGGGUGCGUAGGCGGCUUAUUAAGUCAGGGGUGAAAGGCGGUAGCUUAACUAUCGGAGUGCCCUUGAUACUGAUGAGCUUGAAUGCAGCUGAGGUAGGCGGAAUGUGACAAGUAGCGGUGAAAUGCAUAGAUAUGUCACAGAACACCGAUUGCGAAGGCA
Molecule: ribosomal RNA, 200 nt
Filed under: uncultured bacterium
Lineage: Bacteria
Description: partial 16S ribosomal RNA
Rfam family: Bacterial small subunit ribosomal RNA
Source: RNAcentral